AGACAUGAGGGUGAUCUGGCUGUGAAAUGUGUCACCCCAUCAAUCAUCAGGGACGAUCUGGCUGAUCUGGCUGGCUAGGCAGGUGUCCCCUUCCUCCCUCACAGCUCCACGUGUGUCCCUCCCGAAGCUGCACCCUCUGUUGAAGAGGAUGACCACCCCCGAUAGAGGGGAACCGUUAAUUGUGACAAGGGUAUAGGAGUAGCUGUGCUCCCCUGCUAGAUCCUCCAAGCAAGCUCUCAAGGUCGAACAAACUAUUUUGGACUCAGGGUAAUUAACUGGUUCAUGACACAUAUAUUUGCAUCAUAUAUAUUUAUAUACAUUCCUAU
This 326-nucleotide small nuclear RNA is filed under the name Fukomys damarensis (Damara mole-rat). RNAcentral describes it as "7SK RNA". It matches the Rfam family "7SK RNA". From Rfam's summary of the family: 7SK was discovered as an abundant small nuclear RNA in the mid-70s but a possible function has only recently been suggested. Two independent studies have found that 7SK RNA binds the CDK9/cyclin T complex (known as elongation factor P-TEFb). P-TEFb activates transcription by phosphorylating the C-terminal domain of RNA polymerase II. Lineage: Eukaryota; Metazoa; Chordata; Mammalia; Rodentia; Bathyergidae. The record is from Rfam by way of RNAcentral.